Molecule: long non-coding RNA, 493 nt
Organism: Camellia sinensis
Lineage: Eukaryota; Viridiplantae; Streptophyta; Magnoliopsida; Ericales; Theaceae
Source: RefSeq, a predicted model, not a curated record
AUAUUUUAAAUUCGAGUGUGCGCGUGCGUAUACAUAUGACUCAUUUACUUCCCUUAAAUUCCAUGUACAUUUUCUGAAUGAAUUUUACAAUUCAUUUAAACUUUUUCCACAUGGAGAUGAUAUAUGUGUUGCUAACUUUCUUUGGUGAUGCGAGUCAUGUGGCCUUGUUUAUUUAGAAUUUUUUUUAGCACUGCAUAUACAUUUUGUAUAGAAUAAUUUACACAACUCUAAAUUGCUUAGGUGUCACACUACUAGCACCACCUUGAUGCAAAUGAAUUAUGCAUUUCUGUGCCUCGUCUUUGGUGAGCACUGCAGUUUUGCUCCCUCCCACUGCAUUUUUUAUUCCUCUCCACUUUAACUAUAGCAGAACGGAACUUGGUUUCAAUGUUCAAUGUCAAUACUACCAGCUCACCCCUUUGCCUUCUCAGUUGUAGGAUGCUCAAAUUCCACCAACUUAGUCUCGUUUGGAAACCCUCAUUUUUAGUCAAAAAGU